AGCUGAGAUGGGUAGUCUGCAGAUCCUAGAAUCGUCUGGAGAUUGUGACCAGGCUCCCAAGUGGAAUUACUGUAAGCCUUGACUAGCAAGAAGCAGCUUACAUUAUGGAGUCUUGGGCUUUUCUUCUGACCACUGUAGGGAUUAAGAGGACAAGUUAAACUUCGGUUCCCAGAAGCUGAACAAUCUUCUCAAGAUGAGGGAUGAAUUAGGAGUAGAGCUGAAUUUUAUUCUUUCUGCUUAACCACCCUGCCUGUCUUCUCCUGGAUAUUUCUGUAACAAACCCUGAGAGAGAGGGCUCCAGCUGUACUCAGCUCUCUAGUCACUCCUGCUAAGGCGCCAGACAUGGGGAAAAGAAGCCAUCUUGGACA
This is a long non-coding RNA of Bos taurus (domestic cattle), 368 nucleotides long. Lineage: Eukaryota; Metazoa; Chordata; Mammalia; Artiodactyla; Bovidae. The record is from Ensembl.